RNAcentral lists this unclassified non-coding RNA (236 nucleotides) under Basidiomycota sp. RNAcentral's name for it is "partial contains small subunit ribosomal RNA, internal transcribed spacer 1, and 5.8S ribosomal RNA". The stretch from base 1 to 47 matches the Rfam family "Eukaryotic small subunit ribosomal RNA", at positions 1785 to 1831 of the family's 1831-position model. Lineage: Eukaryota; Fungi; Basidiomycota. The record is from RNAcentral.
AAAGUCGUAACAAGGUUUCCGUAGGUGAACCUGCGGAAGGAUCAUUAACAAAUUCUAUUCCAACCUUUACACCGUGAAUCGCCUUGACCCAAAGGUGCAAGCAGUCUUGAGCUGUGUAGUGCCCGCUAAGUCUUGGUCAAAAUACUUUGAAGGAGUGAGUGACCGUUAGCUUGGCUUUGGUCUUGCGCGGCGCGAAUUUUAAUUUACAACUUUUAACAAUGGAUCUCUUGGCUCUC